UUAUUCGGGCGCGGAGGACCUAUACCUGACCCGAAUAUUGAUAGAAAUUCCCAUAAUAGAUCCUUUAAAUAUUGAUAAGGUAUUAUCAAUUAUAUGGGCAGGGAGGACCCCCCCUGUAAAAAAAAAUCUAUAUAUAUAAAUUAAAUUAAGCAAUGUCUAACAUUUAAGCAAGUUAAAUUAAAUUUAAAUUAAAUGAAUAAGCAGUGGUGAAUAUUUAAGCAGCCUUGGCAUGUAUGUACGCAUACACUGACACAAGGAUUCCUAAAGAAGAGCUAUCUAUCUGAAGGCAUGAAGAAGUGCAUCGCUGGCAAGCGAAGAAGAAAAGAAGAGCCAGCCAAUUAUUCACCGAGAGACAAUGCCACGUGAAGAAAGCAAAGAUUCCUGAAGAUUGAAGCUUGUCGGCACUCUCUCACACUUUUCUAUAUUAUUAGAAGGACACGCGUGUACCCUAGUAAGACACGUAUGCAUGCUACCGUGUGUAAAAUAAGUGAAGGAAGGCUCCCGAAGGCCACCUUGCAGCCACCCCUCACGGCUAUAAAAGGAGACGCUGGGCUCAACAACAAGGACACACAAGAGACGGGAGAGCACGGAGCACUCAAAGCAUCGAGACUCUCCACCAGAGUACCACUUCCUUUGUAGUCUAGCCACCACCAUCACUAGUAGAAUAGCCAAGAAGGCGAUUAGUUCGCCAAGAGUUUGAAGGCAUGAAGAAGUGCAUCGCUGGCAAGCGAAGAAGAAAAGAAGAGCCAGCCAAUUAUUCACCGAGAGACAAUGCCACGUGAAGAAAGCAAAGAUUCCUGAAGAUUGAAGCUUGUCGGCACUCUCUCACACUUUUCUAUAUUAUUAGAAGGACACACGUGUACCCUAGUAAGACACGUAUGCAUGCUACCGUGUGUAAAAUAAGUGAAGGAAGGCUCCCGAAGGCCACCUUGCAGCCACCCCUCACGGCUAUAAAAGGAGACGCUGGGCUCAACAACAAGGACACACAAGAGACGGGAGAGCACGGAGCACUCAAAGCAUCGAGACUCUCCACCAGAGUACCACUUCCUUUGUAGUCUAGCCACCACCAUCACUAGUAGAAUAGCCAAGAAGGCGAUUAGUUCGCCAAGAGUUUGAAGGUAAUUUCCUAGUUGUGUGUAAUCCCUUCGGGGCCUCCCGAAAGGGAAAACCAUAUGUAAAUUAUGUUGUUGAAAUGAUGUAGUUUCUUGGUUUCA
This is a long non-coding RNA of Triticum aestivum (bread wheat), 1214 nucleotides long. RefSeq lists it as uncharacterized. The transcript is spliced from 2 exons. Lineage: Eukaryota; Viridiplantae; Streptophyta; Magnoliopsida; Poales; Poaceae. The record is from RefSeq and is a predicted model, not a curated record.